Long non-coding RNA from Pseudoliparis swirei, 2358 nucleotides. RefSeq lists it as uncharacterized. The record is from RefSeq and is a predicted model, not a curated record. The transcript has 3 exons. NCBI's taxonomy places the organism in Eukaryota, Metazoa, Chordata, Actinopteri, Perciformes, Liparidae.
UUUCACAUAUUUUGGCAUACUAUACUAUGACUUUUAUUUUCACAUAUUUUGGCAUACAAUACUAUGACUUUUAUUUUUGACAUAUUUUGGCAUACUAUACUAUGACUUUAAUUUUGACAUAUUCUGAUUUAAAAUGGGGAAAUGCUUUUGUCAAAUGGUCUACUAUACGCACAAUACUCCACGUGGUUAUUUCAUGUCGACUUUACGUUGCGUGACCCACGUACUCUCUUGUCUCUCGUGCUUUUCACCUCGGGUUGUUUAUUGUCAUUUUUAGAAUAGCCAAGAAUUGUUUAUCGAGACCGAAUUCUGCCCACAACUUCUUGAAUAUGAGGAUUUCCUGCUUGGCUUUACUUCACCUCUCUUGUAAAUGUAAUCUCUUGUGUUUCAGACUGUUACAAAGACGCUUCUUUAAGCUCUGGGAAAAGUGAGAUGGGCGUCUUUGAUUGACGUCUAACUUUGUUAAGUUGCAGCCGGUUAAGAAUAAACUAUAAGGCCGGGUUUGUUGCUUCUAUCUAUACCUUUUCAGUCUUUCUCUUUUGUAUAUUAUAUAGAAUAAUAUUGUAUUGUAUUUGAUUGACUGAAUAAAAUACACAAACAAAAUACACAAACAAAAUGUUAAUGCACAUUAUACACACACACAUAGUUUAACCACUUUAACACAAGAAGCUUACAAUGAAUGUGUUUUAAAUGUUUAUUUGUUGUGACUCCACUAGCAGUGUAUCAAAUAAACAUUAAGGUUAUAUAGUUAACCUUGAAUUGGUAUACAUUGUUAAAUUCUUGCCCUGAAAAAGUUGAUAAUCUGGAAGAUCCAUUCCAGGGGUUUGAAGUAGUUUUGGUCAGGGUUUGUGUCGGGAUACCCGAUAAGGAGUGAAAAAUCAGUUUUAUUUUCCUUUGUUGCUCCUCCACCAUGGUUCUACUGGUCUCCACCUGCUCCCUCACAAACAUUGAGCUCUUUUUAUACCCCUGGUGACUAAUUGGACCGAACCAAUACCAUCUAUAGAGGUCAGUUUAUCCAUCGCAAAAUGUACGCUAAUAUAUUUACACGCUUUUACUAACCCCCAAAAUAUCUAUAUUAAUUUACAGCCACAUUUAGACUUCCUAUAACUCAAGUAAAUAAUAAAUCCAUUGUUUUACUUUUAUAAACACAGCAACACAUGGCUUCACUUCCCCCUACCGAUUCCUUCAGUUGGUAUUUCCCGGACCUAUAAAUCGGCGGUCAUGGACCUUGGGAACUAUUUUGCCAGAUCACCAUGGAGAGAGGAGGCAGGUUCCAGAGAUCCCUGGGAGGAAGACACCAGUAACAGGUCCCUGGACGGUGUGCAGCUGUUGGUCUGUAACUCGCCAAUGGACAUCGAGCUGACCCCCAACGUGGCGGUGAGAGGGCGGAGGAGCCGCUGCAGAAGGAGGCCGGAGGAGUGAGUCGAGUUUCUGCUGCUCGUGGGCGCCCCCUGCGUGGCAGAAAGAAUACUGCAGCUGCCUUUUGGGUAUAUUUAUAAGUCCUACUUUUUUUAACCUCAAUGUGUUUCUGCAAUUAUGUUCAACGUCCCCGCUGCUCAUCCUGUAUCAUCUGGUCAGAUACCAAAGGCCUCAUAGUGUAUAAUCAAUGCUCUGAUGGCUCCAUGUAGUUUCAUUCAUAUCUGGCUGUGGGCUAAUACUAAUAUUACUGCCAUUUGUUAAGUGUUGAAAGUUAACCAUACAGAUGUUUUAUUUAUUACUAUUAUUGAUAAAUAUACCAGCCUCGUAUUUAUGGUAUGUUAUGGAAUUCUGGUAUCGGGUAUCAUGAUAUUUAUGGCAGGUAUCGUAUAGAAGUCAGGGUCGGGAACCUAUAGCUCUUCCGGUGGCAGUAUGCGUGCAUGCGGGUUAUUCGCACAAGUCAAAAAUUAUUAAACCGAAUCGUAUGAAAUUUGGUGGGAUGAUUGGUUAUUAUCCGGGGACCAUUUGAUUAGAUUUUGGGAUCGAUUGGGGUCAAGGUCAUGAACAGGUCAAAAUCGUAUUUUUACCAUAGCGCGGUCAAUUUUUAUCCAAUUGGCAUGCAACUAAUGCCAAAAUGUUCAUAAUUCAAUGCCCAAUCUUGUGAUAUGCGAAGGUAUGCGCUCUACCGAGUGCCCAUUCUAGUUUCUAAAAUGUAUUUCUGUGAUGCUUGUGUGUUCUCCCCUCCCCCCUUGUGUUCUCUUCAGGUGGCAUCAAUCACCACCUCAACAGGCCAAUCUGACUGCACCUGGAUGCAAGAAGGCGAGCUGGCCAAUCGGCUGAGAGGGCCCUGUUUAAAAGGGGAUGCGAGGUCAGCUCCUGUUGAAGCGCAGGACGGACAGCCUCUCGUUGCCAGCUCUCGUCGACAUGCGCGUCUCCCCCUUCAAG